Molecule: ribosomal RNA, 497 nt
Filed under: uncultured bacterium
Lineage: Bacteria
Description: partial 16S ribosomal RNA
Rfam family: Bacterial small subunit ribosomal RNA
Source: RNAcentral
GAUGAACGCUGGCGGCGUGCCUAAUACAUGCAAGUCGAGCGAACAGACGAGGAGCUUGCUCCUCUGACGUUAGCGGCGGUCGGGUGAGUAACACGUGGAUAACCUACCUAUAAGACUGGGAUAACUUCGGGAAACCGGAGCUAAUACCGGAUAAUAUAUUGAACCGCAUGGUUCAAUAGUGAAAGACGGUUUUGCUGUCACUUAUAGCUGGAUCCGCGCCGCAUUAGCUAGUUGGUAAGGUAACGGCUUACCAAGGCAACGAUGCGUAGCCGACCUGAGAGGGUGAUCGGCCACACUGGAACUGAGACACGGUCCAGACUCCUACGGGAGGCAGCAGUAGGGAAUCUUCCGCAAUGGGCGAAAGCCUGACGGAGCAACGCCGCGUGAGUGAUGAAGGUCUUCGGAUCGUAAAACUCUGUUAUUAGGGAAGAACAAAUGUGUAAGUAACUAUGCACGUCUUGACGGUACCUAAUCAGAAAGCCACGGCUAACUACGUG